This 73-nucleotide transfer RNA is filed under the name Planctomycetaceae bacterium. RNAcentral describes it as "tRNA-Lys". It matches the Rfam family "tRNA". Rfam says of the family: Transfer RNA (tRNA) molecules are approximately 80 nucleotides in length. Their secondary structure includes four short double-helical elements and three loops (D, anti-codon, and T loops). Lineage: Bacteria; Pseudomonadati; Planctomycetota; Planctomycetia; Planctomycetales; Planctomycetaceae. The record is from RNAcentral.
GCUCUUUUAGCUCAAUUGGUAGAGCAACGGACUCUUAAUCCGUAGGUUCUGGGUUCGAGUCCCAGAGGGAGCA